Molecule: long non-coding RNA, 1629 nt
Filed under: Equus caballus (horse)
Lineage: Eukaryota; Metazoa; Chordata; Mammalia; Perissodactyla; Equidae
Description: lncRNA (ENSECAG00000051529.1)
Source: RNAcentral
AGCUGGAAGCUGGGCGUUGAGAGCCAAGCCGUGAACUUGUCCAGGGCCAGGCGGCUUAGAGGGAUCUGGAAGAUGGAGGCGGGGUCCAUUCUGUCGCCAGGCAGGGUCCUGGCUGGCUGUAGUGUGCGCUCACACGGUGGGGGUGGGCUGGGGCCUCUCGCGUCGCUUCUUGUGAGGGCAGCAGCCUCGUCAUGAAGCUGGCCCCCUUGCCUCGCCCUACUCACCUCCCAAAGGCCCCACCUCUGCAUCACUGGGGUUAUGGCUUGGGCAUCCUGGGUGGACACAAUCCAGUCCACAGCACGGAGACUGAGGCAGCGGGGAGAGCAGCCAGAUGAGACACGUGGCCCUGAGCUGAUGCCUCUGGAGAUGCUCUGAGGAACCAUGCAGAUGAGCUGGGAGGCUACCCCCGGGCGUGGGGGGCCGGCCGUGUGCACCCACAGACACCUCCCUCUCUCCCUCCUGCAUGCACGGGGCCUGCCCUGGGGGGUGUCAGGUCCCGGGCAUUCUGGCUGCCCUGCCCAAGGCUGAGCUAGUGUCUGUGGUGCUGGAGAGACCCUCGGGUGGAGGGGCAGAGGGAUGCAGGCUCCAUCCGACAGCCAGCCCAGAGCUGUCCCUCAUGGCUGCAGGUGAGCUCGGAGGUGCUAGGGGCAUGGUGGGGGCAUGCACCUGCCCAGUGAAUGCCCAUCGGUCCACACAUUUCCAGAGCCCCAGACAGGCCACUGGCUCCCACCCCAGGGCAUUUCACAGACCUUCCUUAGCCCUGAGGUCUGGAGCAGCAGGGGAGGGGCAGGGGCAGGCUCAGGCCUCGGGGGGUGGCUGCUGCUCAGAGGGGGCCAGGUGGAAGCCAGGCCCUGUCUGCUGCAGUAAGCAGUGGACUAGAUGUCACAAAGAAGGUUCCUGACUCAGGGUCUGCCCAGAAAUGUCACUUCACAUCCUCUCACUCCCCGCCACCAGCUCCCAGCUGACCAUGGCCGACCCCCACUAGCCUCAGGUUGUCCAUGUGUGAAAUGGGUGGGUGGAUAUGGGGAGCUCUGGGCUCCAGAGUCAGCGGCCUGGGCAGUGGCCUCUGUCCCUCUCUGGCUGACCUCUGCGAGGCCCUCAGCUCCGAGCUUCUGCAUCCAGCGGGGCCGGUGGUUGCACCCCCAGGAGGAGGGACCCUCACCCGACGCUGGGGGCUGCCCACUCGCUGGCCCCGGCUGGCCCUGCAGCCGUGGAAGUGGGCUCUGUGGUGUUCCAGGCCUCUAAAGAAGGACUUGGGGGUCACACGUGAGCUCGCGGCUGCCUCCAGGGGCCCAGGGCCGAGCUCCUGGCUGCCCCUCAGGCUGGGCUGGAGCAGGCAGCUGUGGCUGAAGCUGCUGCAGGACCCACCUCCACUGCCCAAGCCGUGGGGCCGCGCCAGGAUCUCCAGGAGGGGUGGCUGCUCCCCUCCAGAGUCCCUCCCUGGCCCCUCCAGGAUUAGCGGAUCCAGAGCAUGGUGAACCAAGAUGGAAAUUCUGGAACGGAUUUCUCACUGUGGCCCCUCUCCCCAGGCCGUGACACGAGGCCAUGGAGGAAGGCUUGGCGCAGAGAAGGAGCAUAGACUCCUCUGGAGGAGGAAAGAGGAGGAAGAUGAGAAAGAAGGAGCAGGAG